This 606-nucleotide ribosomal RNA is filed under the name Mycobacterium sp. JMT1916. RNAcentral's name for it is "bacterial SSU rRNA". It matches the Rfam family "Bacterial small subunit ribosomal RNA", at positions 47 to 668 of the family's 1533-position model. The record is from RNAcentral. Lineage: Bacteria; Bacillati; Actinomycetota; Actinomycetes; Mycobacteriales; Mycobacteriaceae.
CUUAACACAUGCAAGUCGAACGGAAAGGCCCUUCGGGGUACUCGAGUGGCGAACGGGUGAGUAACACGUGGGUGAUCUGCCCUGCACUUUGGGAUAAGCCUGGGAAACUGGGUCUAAUACCGAAUACACCUCGCUGGUUGCAUGACCUGGUGGGGGAAAGCUUUUGCGGUGUGGGAUGGGCCCGCGGCCUAUCAGCUUGUUGGUGAGGUUACGGCUCACCAAGGCGACGACGGGUAGCCGGCCUGAGAGGGUGUCCGGCCACACUGGGACUGAGAUACGGCCCAGACUCCUACGGGAGGCAGCAGUGGGGAAUAUUGCACAAUGGGCGCAAGCCUGAUGCAGCGACGCCGCGUGAGGGAUGACGGCCUUCGGGUUGUAAACCUCUUUCGCCAGGGACGAAGCGCAAGUGACGGUACCUGGAGAAGAAGCACCGGCCAACUACGUGCCAGCAGCCGCGGUAAUACGUAGGGUGCGAGCGUUGUCCGGAAUUACUGGGCGUAAAGAGCUCGUAGGUGGUUUGUCGCGUUGUUCGUGAAAACUCACAGCUUAACUGUGGGCGUGCGGGCGAUACGGGCAGACUGGAGUACUGCAGGGGAGACUGGAAUU